RNAcentral lists this ribosomal RNA (468 nucleotides) under uncultured bacterium. Its description in RNAcentral is "partial 16S ribosomal RNA". It matches the Rfam family "Bacterial small subunit ribosomal RNA", at positions 28 to 507 of the family's 1533-position model. The record is from RNAcentral.
GACGAACGCUGGCGGCGUGCUUAACACAUGCAAGUCGAACGGAAAGGCCCUGCUUUUGUGGGGUGCUCGAGUGGCGAACGGGUGAGUAACACGUGAGUAACCUGCCCUUGACUUUGGGAUAACUUCAGGAAACUGGGGCUAAUACCGGAUAGGAGCUCCUGCUGCAUGGUGGGCGUUGGAAAGUUUCGGCGGUUGGGGAUGGACUCGCGGCUUAUCAGCUUGUUGGUGGGGUAGUGGCUUACCAAGGCUUUGACGGGUAGCCGGCCUGAGAGGGUGACCGGCCACAUUGGGACUGAGAUACGGCGCAGACUCGUACGGGAGGCAGCAGUGGGGAAUAUUGCACAAUGGGCGGAAGCCGGGUGCAGCAACGCCGCGUGCGGGAUGACGGCCUUCGGGUUGUAAACCGCUUUCGCCUGUGACGAAGCGUGAGUGACGGUAAUGGGUAAAGAAGCACCGGCUAACUACGUG